AUACUUACCUAGCUGGGGAGAUAUGAUCACAAAGCUGGUUUGCCCAAGGCAAGGCUUAUCUAUAGUGCUCCAGAUGUGCGAACUGACCCUGCGAUUAGUGGUGUAGGGGACUGCAUUCUCACUCCCCUC
RNAcentral lists this small nuclear RNA (129 nucleotides) under Echinops telfairi (small Madagascar hedgehog). RNAcentral describes it as "U1 spliceosomal RNA (ENSETEG00000026653.1)". The record is from RNAcentral. Lineage: Eukaryota; Metazoa; Chordata; Mammalia; Afrosoricida; Tenrecidae.